RNAcentral lists this ribosomal RNA (504 nucleotides) under uncultured bacterium. Its description in RNAcentral is "partial 16S ribosomal RNA". It matches the Rfam family "Bacterial small subunit ribosomal RNA", at positions 30 to 523 of the family's 1533-position model. The record is from RNAcentral.
AUUGAACGCUGGCGGCAGGCCUAACACAUGCAAGUCGAACGGUAGCACAGAGAGCUUGCUCUCGGGUGACGAGUGGCGGACGGGUGAGUAAUGUCCGGGAAACUGCCCGAUGGAGGGGGAUAACUACUGGAAACGGUAGCUAAUACCGCAUAACGUCGCAAGACCAAAGUGGGGGACCUUCGGGCCUCACACCAUCGGAUGUGCCCAGAUGGGAUUAGCUAGUAGGUGGGGUAAUGGCUCACCUAGGCGACGAUCCCUAGCUGGUCUGAGAGGAUGACCAGACACACUGGAACUGAGACACGGUCCAGACUCCUACGGGAGGCAGCAGUGGGGAAUAUUGCACAAUGGGCGCAAGCCUGAUGCAGCCAUGCCGCGUGUAUGAAGAAGGCCUUCGGGUUGUAAAGUACUUUCAGCGGGGAGGAAGGCGGUGAAGUUAAUAACUUCACCGAUUGACGUUACCCGCAGAAGAAGCACCGGCUAACUCCGUGCCAGCCGCCGCCGUAA